Molecule: ribosomal RNA, 252 nt
Filed under: uncultured prokaryote
Description: partial 16S ribosomal RNA
Rfam family: Bacterial small subunit ribosomal RNA
Source: RNAcentral
ACGUAGGAGGCAAGCGUUAUCCGGAGUUACUGGGCGUAAAGGGCGUGCAGGCGGUUGGCUAAGUUCGUUGUGAAAGCGCCCAGGCUUAACCGGGAGAGGACGUGCGAGACCGGCGGACUAGAGGCAGGUAGAGGCAAGUGGAAUUCCGGGUGUAGUGGUGAAAUGCGUAGAGAUGUGGAGGAACACCGAUGGCGAAGGCAGCCCCCUGGGAUGACACUGACGCUCAUGUACGAAAGCGUGGGUAGCAAACAG